GGUUUUGGCACAGUGGUAACACUCCUGUCUUGCAAGACAAAGGUUGUGGGUUCGAAUCCCACUCAAGUCG
This is a non-coding RNA of Catenaria anguillulae PL171, 70 nucleotides long. The record is from the annotation of a GenBank genome assembly. NCBI's taxonomy places the organism in Eukaryota, Fungi, Blastocladiomycota, Blastocladiomycetes, Blastocladiales, Catenariaceae.